Molecule: non-coding RNA, 72 nt
Organism: Ictidomys tridecemlineatus (thirteen-lined ground squirrel)
Lineage: Eukaryota; Metazoa; Chordata; Mammalia; Rodentia; Sciuridae
Source: Rfam
UGGGUUGUGGCUCAGUGGUAGAGUGCUCAACUACCAUGUGGAAAGCACUGGGUUCGAUCCUCAGCACCACAU